This 97-nucleotide non-coding RNA is filed under the name Schistosoma japonicum. The record is from RNAcentral. Lineage: Eukaryota; Metazoa; Platyhelminthes; Trematoda; Strigeidida; Schistosomatidae.
GCCUAUCGUGAUGAACCAAUCGAGCUAUACUGGCUGGAACAAUAGUUCCUCAAGGUCCUACCAUGUCAGGCAGGUCGGUUGAAGAACGGUAAGACAA